This 74-nucleotide transfer RNA is filed under the name Oenococcus oeni. RNAcentral's name for it is "tRNA-Met". It matches the Rfam family "tRNA". Rfam says of the family: Transfer RNA (tRNA) molecules are approximately 80 nucleotides in length. Their secondary structure includes four short double-helical elements and three loops (D, anti-codon, and T loops). The record is from RNAcentral. Lineage: Bacteria; Bacillati; Bacillota; Bacilli; Lactobacillales; Lactobacillaceae.
GGACCUUUAGCUCAGUUGGUUAGAGCAAGCGGCUCAUAACMGCACGGGCGCUGGUUCGAGUCGAGCAAGGUCCA